RNAcentral lists this long non-coding RNA (412 nucleotides) under Gallus gallus (chicken). Its description in RNAcentral is "long non-coding RNA NONGGAT009160". Lineage: Eukaryota; Metazoa; Chordata; Aves; Galliformes; Phasianidae. The record is from RNAcentral.
GUCGCAGUGCUCGGGUCCUCCGAGCUCGCUCUUCUCCGGCGUUCUCUCCAAGCGGCGCUAUCGGUGUUCCGUCACCGCCCGGGCUGCUCGGCCGGCAGCUCCGUGCAGAGACAGCCAUCGGUGCGGCUCGCAGGAGGCAGCCGGCUCUUCGUGGCGCCGCAGGUCCUGAACACCAAAAGAGACACCUGAACCAGCUCACAAUCCCUGAAGGAUCACACAGGAACCGUGCACUUAUCACACUGAGCCCAAAGAUAAAAAGGAAAGCAAGGAGCCUCUUCACAGUCUACUCCUUGGGCAUGGUCUUGACAGCAACUCUGACAGAAGAGAUGAGUUUUCAGGCACUGCCUGAGGAAAUCCCCUUUUAGGAUGGAAAUGCUGUGAUGGAGGACAGUUCUGUCACAGAAGUGCCCAG